UACGUAGGGGGCGAGCGUUGUCCGGAUUUAUUGGGCGUAAAGAGCGUGUAGGCGGCCAGGUAGGUCUGCUGUGAAAACUCGAGGCUCAACCUCGAGACGUCGGCGGAAACCAUCUGGCUAGAGUCCGGAAGAGGAGAGUGGGAAUUCCUGGUGUAGCGGUGAAAUGCGCAGAUAUCAGGAAGAACACCCGUGGCGAAGGCGGCUCUCGUGGACCAGUACUGACGCUGAGGCACGAAAGCGUGGGGAGCAAACAGG
Molecule: ribosomal RNA, 255 nt
Filed under: uncultured bacterium
Lineage: Bacteria
Description: partial 16S ribosomal RNA
Rfam family: Bacterial small subunit ribosomal RNA
Source: RNAcentral